This is a non-coding RNA of Pelobates cultripes (western spadefoot toad), 230 nucleotides long. NCBI's taxonomy places the organism in Eukaryota, Metazoa, Chordata, Amphibia, Anura, Pelobatidae. The record is from the annotation of a GenBank genome assembly.
AUUAAUUAAAUAUACUAAUAUACUUUUACUUCACAUAUACUUUUAUUGUGACCUAUUGUAUUUUUCUAUUACUAUUCUUUGGCAUGCUACCGAUUGCCAGACUGUAUAUAACUGACACUGGCAGACUGAUACUGGUAGACAGACUUAUACAUGUAUUAUAAAGUAAUUCUUCUUUAUUUUUAAGUUUUUAUUUUUUUAAGGACUUUUUAUUGCAGUGACAGAUUUUUGAC